Molecule: ribosomal RNA, 450 nt
Filed under: uncultured bacterium
Lineage: Bacteria
Description: bacterial SSU rRNA
Rfam family: Bacterial small subunit ribosomal RNA
Source: RNAcentral
UCAAGAAACUUCCACAAUGGGCGAAAGCCUGAUGGAGCGACGUCGCGUGAUGGACGAAGUGCUUCGGCACGUAAACAUCUUUUAUGUGGGAUGAAAUUAUUGACAGUACCACAUGAAUAAGGGGCUCCUAACUCUGUGCCAGCAGGAGCGGUAAUACAGAGGCCCCAAGCGUUAUCCGGAAUCACUGGGCGUAAAGGGUGUCGAGGCGGUUGUAUUAGUCGUUCGUAAAAUCUACGAGCUUAACUUGUAGGCGGCGAACGAAACGGUACGACUUGAGGUUUGGAGAGGUGCGUGGAACUCACGGUGUAGGGGUGAAAUCCGUCGAUAUCGUGGGGAACACCAAAGGCGAAGGCAGCGCACUGGCCAAAAUCUGACGCUCACACACGAAAGCUAGGGUAGCAAACAGGAUUAGAUACCCAAGUAGUGCCUGAGCGGGCUGGCAAGGCGCAU